AUUGAACGCUGGCGGCAUGCCUUACACAUGCAAGUCGAACGGUAACAGGUCUUCGGAUGCUGACGAGUGGCGAACGGGUGAGUAAUACAUCGGAACGUGCCUAGUAGUGGGGGAUAACUACUCGAAAGAGUGGCUAAUACCGCAUGAGAUCUACGGAUGAAAGCAGGGGAUCGCAAGACCUUGUGCUACUAGAGCGGCCGAUGGCAGAUUAGGAAGUUGGUGGGAUAAAAGCUUACCAAGCCGACGAUCUGUAGCUGGUCUUAGAGGACGAUGAGCCACACUGGGACUGAGAGACGGACCAGACGCCUACUGGAGGCAGCAGUGGGGAAUUUUGGACAAUGGGCGAAAGCCUGAUACAGCAAUGCCGCGUGCAGGAUGAAGGCCUUCGGGUUGUAAACUGCUUUUGUACGGAACGAGAAGCCCCGGGUUAAUACCCUGGGGUCAUGACGGUACCGUAAGAAUAAGCACCGGCUAACUACGUGCCAGCAGCCGCGGUAA
RNAcentral lists this ribosomal RNA (498 nucleotides) under uncultured bacterium. RNAcentral's name for it is "partial 16S ribosomal RNA". It matches the Rfam family "Bacterial small subunit ribosomal RNA", at positions 30 to 523 of the family's 1533-position model. The record is from RNAcentral.